GCAGCAGCCACGGUAAUACGGAGGGUGCAAGCGUUAUCCGGAUUCACUGGGUUUAAAGGGUGCGUAGGCGGAUUAGAAAGUCCGUUGUGAAAUCUCCGAGCUUAACUCGGAAAUUGCGGUGGAUACUAUUAGUCUUGAAUACUGUGGAGGUUAGCGGAAUAUGUCAUGUAGCGGUGAAAUGCAUAGAUAUGACAUAGAACACCAAUUGCGAAGGCAGCUGGCUACACAGAUAUUGACGCUGAGGCACGAAAGCGUGGGGAUCAAACAGGAUUAGAUACCCCCGUAGUCCCUGUCUCUUAUAC
Molecule: ribosomal RNA, 302 nt
Filed under: uncultured bacterium
Lineage: Bacteria
Description: partial 16S ribosomal RNA
Rfam family: Bacterial small subunit ribosomal RNA
Source: RNAcentral